CACCCGUGUCACUGUGCCAGCUCUGGGUGACAUCCAUGUCCCUGUGUGACAUCCAGAUGACAUCUGUGUCACUGUGUCACACUCAGGUGACAUCAGUGUCCCUGUGCCAGCUCCGUGUCCUUGUGCCACAUCCAGGUGACAUCCAAGUGACACCUAUGUCACAUCUGUGUCCUGUGCCAGCUCCGGGUGACACAUCCAGGUGACAUCAGGUGACAUCAGGUGACAUCCGUGUCCUUGUGCCACAUCCAGGUGACACCUCCAGGUGCCACACCCAGGUGACAUUGGUGUCCCUGUCCCAGCUCCGUGUCCUUGUGUCACCUCCAGGUGACAUCCAUGUCCCUGU
Non-coding RNA from Taeniopygia guttata (zebra finch), 343 nucleotides. Lineage: Eukaryota; Metazoa; Chordata; Aves; Passeriformes; Estrildidae. The record is from RefSeq and is a predicted model, not a curated record.